ACUGGCAAAUCCGAAACUGAGCCAUCCCAGAUUGCAGAGUUGCAGACUAAAAUUUAGAUAGCGAACGACACAUGAGUUCAUUUUUAAUUUUUGAGAAAAUACUAGAAAUCAUAGAGACAAUCUAAAAAUAAAUAGUUUGUGCACUUCAAACGGACGUUCUACUAUUUUGGCAGGUGUUGAAAGCUGAGAAUGGAAAAUUUUUUAAUCUGCUCGGAAAUAAAGCGAAUCCGGAAUUGGCUUUACCCCAUCACGAUGGAUCGAUCUUUCCUAACCAUCGCCGUAAUAUUCCAAAAAGGAAAAUUCGGAAUGGAUACCAAAAAAUUUUUCUCCCCUGCAGUUUGCUCCAAUUUUCGAAUCAGACGAACUUCCUAUACGGUUACCUGGCAGUUGAUCUACAACAACGGGGAACUCCCUGUCAACUUCCAACAGCGUCCGGAAUAUAGGGAGGACUUACAAUUUUUAAAAGGGUUGGCUAUAGGAGCAGCGCAUCAUCCAUCAAAAAAACACAUGUGGCAACAACAUCCUGCGAAUAUCCUUUUAAUUAUUCCUGCGGCGAUUCAGUAUAAGAAGACUGAUGCUCCACAACACGACGGCGCUGGCUACAUUGUGAAUGAGUGAUGAUCCCUGUGCGAUCAAUAAUAGUCCGCAUACUGCUUCUCACUACUGCGAAACAUGAAUGGGUUGCAACCGCGCACACUGAGAACGUCUAAUGAAGCCAUUUUAUUCCAUUGAAAAGCCAGCAACCAAAUUAUACAAGCGGUUUCAAACUUAAUCAAACUUUCAGCGGGAUUAGCCGGAAGGCGAAAUCCUGGUUAUACCAAAUGCAUCAGGAAAAAAUGUACAGAGAAAACAAUUAAAAAUUCCAUCUCAUCGGUCAUCUCGGGCCUACGUCACACAGCUGGCCAGACACAGACCAGCGGAGGACUUCACUCAAUCUUGGCUAAGAUAAGCAGUUAGCAACGGAAUUCAACAUGUUGGAGCGUGAACUUCACGAUUUUUGCCGACCUUCACCUUUCGGUUUUUUUCCUUGCCCAAAAGCCAAAAACACGGAACGCAAAAAAAUGACGACAUUUGUACAUUUCCAGACUAUUUUACACAAAAACAGUUUUAUUGUUGCACGUAUCGAUCUUAUCCGAGCGAUGCAGCGAUACAGCCCGACAAAAGAAAAAAAAAGUACAUGUCAAAAGUUCUGAUUGAUAUGAUCCAAUAUAUUUCAUACAGGUAUGUUGUUCCUAGUGUGUUCAGUUUUAUAGUUAUAUUGUCGAUGAGUCACUGUUAAAUUUCAUCUUUCUAGCACAGCAUCUUGGUGCAAAUUCUUCACACAAUCUCCCAGCAAGGGAUCUAUUUCUGUAUGUUUUUGUGAAUUUUUGAAAUGUCCCUUUAGAUAUUCUCAGGGUCCAAAA
Daphnia pulex (common water flea) is the source of this 1403-nucleotide long non-coding RNA. RefSeq lists it as uncharacterized. The record is from RefSeq and is a predicted model, not a curated record. The transcript has 7 exons. Lineage: Eukaryota; Metazoa; Arthropoda; Branchiopoda; Diplostraca; Daphniidae.